This 106-nucleotide ribosomal RNA is filed under the name uncultured bacterium. RNAcentral describes it as "partial 16S ribosomal RNA". It matches the Rfam family "Bacterial small subunit ribosomal RNA", at positions 1379 to 1482 of the family's 1533-position model. The record is from RNAcentral.
CCUUGUACACACCGCCCGUCACACCAUGGGAGUUGGUUUCACCCGAAGGUGGUGCGCUAACCCGUAAGGGAGGCAGCCAACCACGGUGGGAUCAGCGACUGGGGUG